CCUACGGGAGGCAGCAGUGAGGAAUAUUGGUCAAUGGGCGCGAGCCUGAACCAGCCAAGUCGCGUGAGGGAGGACGGCCCUACGGGUUGUAAACCUCUUUUGCCGGGGAGCAACGGGCGUCACGUGUGGCGCCACUGAGAGUACCCGGAGAAAAAGCAUCGGCUAACUCCGUGCCAGCAGCCGCGGUAAUACGGAGGAUGCGAGCGUUAUCCGGAUUUAUUGGGUUUAAAGGGUGCGUAGGCGGAUCGUUAAGUCAGUGGUCAAAUUGAGGGGCUCAACCCCUUCCCGCCAUUGAAACUGGCGAUCUUGAGUGGAAGAGAAGUAUGCGGAAUGCGUGGUGUAGCGGUGAAAUGCAUAGAUAUCACGCAGAACCCCGAUUGCGAAGGCAGCAUGCCGGCUUCCGACUGACGCUGAAGCACGAAAGCGUGGGGAUCGAACAGGAUUAGAUACCCGGGUAGUC
Molecule: ribosomal RNA, 460 nt
Filed under: uncultured bacterium
Lineage: Bacteria
Description: partial 16S ribosomal RNA
Rfam family: Bacterial small subunit ribosomal RNA
Source: RNAcentral